UGGGGAAUAUUGGACAAUGGGCGCAAGCCUGAUCCAGCAAUGCCGCGUGUGUGAAGAAGGCCUGCGGGUUGUAAGGCACUUUCAGUAGAGAAGAAAAGCUCAAGGUUAAUACCCUUGGGUCUUGACGUAACCUACAGAAGAAGCACCGGCUAACUCCGUGCCAGCAGCCGCGGUAAUACGGAGGGGGUUAGCGUUGUUCGGAAUUACUGGGCGUAAAGCGCACGUAGCCGGACUAUUAAGUCAGGGGUGAAAUCCCGGGGCUCAACCCCGGAACUGCCUUUGAUACUGGUAGUCUUGAGUUCGAGAGAGGUGAGUGGAAUUCCGAGUGUAGAGGUGAAAUUCGUAGAUAUUCGGAGGAACACCAGUGGCGAAGGCGGCUCACUGGCUCGAUACUGACGCUGAGGUGCGAAAGCGUGGGGAGCAAACAGGAUUAGAUACCCCCGUAGUCC
RNAcentral lists this ribosomal RNA (449 nucleotides) under uncultured prokaryote. RNAcentral's name for it is "bacterial SSU rRNA". It matches the Rfam family "Bacterial small subunit ribosomal RNA", at positions 355 to 796 of the family's 1533-position model. The record is from RNAcentral.